Long non-coding RNA from Mustela putorius furo (domestic ferret), 2407 nucleotides. The record is from Ensembl. Lineage: Eukaryota; Metazoa; Chordata; Mammalia; Carnivora; Mustelidae.
GAAAAGGCACCUUUGAACAAUUCUCAAUAUUAAUUUAUCCCCAUAAUCCUAAUAUAUCUUUUUUCUUUCUUUUCAGUGUCUUCAGAUAGCAGAGGCAGUAUCAAGAUUUAACAUGUUACCUUUAUUCCUCUUGUCUCAGAGAUAUGGUCAAAGCCCCAAUGCCAAGAAACGGAAGAGUAGCUGCGGACGGCUAAUUUUAUCACCCUGUGGAGCAAGCCUUCUGCGAUUGUCAGAAUGAGGUCUAUACCAAGAGAGACAAAGAGGAGAGGAGAGAAAUGGCUGUGUUGUUUGAGGUCUGGCCCUAGGUCUGUGUGAUGUUAGCUCCUCCGCUAACUCCUUUUGCAUAUCAUAAAGGUUGACAUUUCCAUCAUUUGUAUCCUGACUGAUAGACUUGGAACAGAAAUAUUAGAAAACUCCCUCUUAUGAAAUAUUACUUCUUAAGCCUAAAAAUGCAGGUGAUUUUGGCAUGAUAAUAAAAAUAACUGCAAGUUAUAAAACAUCUACCAGGUGCUAAGCACGGCCAUAAAUACAUACUGUAUUCUGUUUUCUUUUCUAACUUUUUUUUUUUAAGCCUCUUUAUUCAUUUGAGAGAGAGAGGGAGAGAGUGAGCACACCAACAGGGGAGUGGUGAAGAGGGAGAUGGAGAAGUAAACUCCCCACUGGGGCUUGAUCCUGGGACCACGGACGAGAUCAUGACCUGAGCUGAAGGCAGACACUUCACUGACUGAGCUACUCAGAUGCCACUUUGUUUUAUUUUCAUUUAGUCUCCACAACAACCUUUAUAGUAUAUGAAUCAGUUACAGAACUUAGUGGGUUGAAACAAUUAGAAUUUAUUUAACCCAAGUUGGUGAUUUGGUUGGGUGAUUCUUCUUGUAUAGACCAGGCACAGUUGAUCUUAAGUGGGCUUGCUCAUGUGUCCACAAUAACUUGGCAGAUUUCUGGGGGCUGACUAAUUUGGGAUGAGUCACUCGUAGGUCUGGAGUUGGGUGGUUUUCUCAGCUGGGCCCCACAGGAGGGACUGGACAUUGUGUCUCCAGCAGGCUAGCCUGGGCUUAUGAACAUGGAUGUUGUAGGGAUCCAGGAGAGUGAGUGAAGGCAUGAAGUCUUCUCAAGGCUCAGGCUAGGCACUGGCAUUUUGCAACUUCUGCAUCCUGUGGAGUAAAGUACAAGGGAAGCCCUCAUUCAGGGAGUGAGGAAAUAGUGUCUACUUUUAUUGGGAGGACCUGAAAGUCAAAGGGAAUGGAUAUAAAGAAGCAUGAAAAAAUGGGAGUACAAUUAAUUUUCUAAAAAAGGUAUUAAGUGCAUAUACUUCAAAAGUUAAGAAAUUUAUUCAAGGUCAUAUGGCAAGGAGUAGCAGAGACAGGAUUUGAGCCUUAAUCUUCAGACUGAAAAUCUCACUCAGCAUUUUCUCUCUUCUUGCUGAUGGAUCUAUGUAGUCCAGUUGUCACAACUUAGUUCUGAAGUCCUAUUCUUAGAUCACUUUUGAAUGACUUCUCAGUUAUGAGGAAGAGUUUCUUUAUUAUAACAUAGGUAUAGACUUUCUGUAAUUGGUCAUUCUUGAGCCACACCUACAAGCAUUUUCAUUCAUAUUUAUACCCACAGUAAAAGGAAGUUCAUAUUUCUAUCUUGCACCGUGGCUGAGCUGUGAAAUGGCAGACAUUAUUUUGGGAGAAUAGAUAAAUAAUUUGUAGUAUCUAGUAAAUUCUUAAAUAAUACUUAGAGUAGUGAGGAAACAAUGAGUUCAGGCAAAUGAGAAGUUGGAAGAUAAUGAGAUGUGUAAAAUGGAUAGAAGACUGUCAACAAAUGGAAGAAAGGGACAGUAGAGUCUAAUCCUGUAGGAUUCUAGGGAGGGUAGAAGUGUAGUAGCUACCAUUUAAGUUGAGGAAUCUUAAAGCCUAGUGUGCAAGCUUCAUGAAUAGUCCAGAGACAGCCCUGUCCAUGGAUCCUUAAUAGGAUAGAACAUGGGGAAAGGAGACCAUGUACACAGAGCCUGUACUGCACUGAGAGACUCAGAUGCCCCACACUGUGCCUCUCCCAAAAUAGUUUAGCUUAAACCCUCCUUGCAUGCCUAGCUUAAAAGUCUGAGUGUUAUAAUUGUUCCUCUAGAACAGUCCUAAGAGUGUUGGUGGGAGGGGGUGGUCACAUAGGCAACUUUGUCUCAUGAAAUUCAAUGAUUAAAAUGCAUGAUGGCUGUGAAGCAAGGAAGUUCGGAAGAGCAUAGACAGAAACAGAUGGUGGGAAAUGAAAGGAGAUAACUGCCAGGAACUUUAAUCCUGCAGUUGAAGCAAGGACUUCUCUCAGAAGGUAACACUAGGUCGGGUGCCUGGGUGGCUCAGUCAGUUAAGCGUCUGACUCNNNNNNNNNNNNNNNNNNNNNNNNNNNNNNNNNNNNNNNNNNNNNNNNNNNN